CCUACGGGGGGCAGCAGUGGGGAAUAUUGCACAAUGGGGGAAACCCUGAUGCAGCGACGCCGCGUGAGUGAAGAAGUAUUUCGGUACGUAAAGCUCUAUCAGCAGGGAAGAAAAAAAGUCCUUUGGACUUUGGACGGUACCUGACCAAGAAGCCCCGGCUAACUACGUGCCAGCAGCCGCGGUAAUACGCAGGGGGCAAGCGUUAUCCGGAUUUACUGGGUGUAAAGGGAGCGUAGACGGCAGUGCAAGUCCGGAGUGAAAGCCCGGGGCUCAACCCUGGGACUGCUCUGGAAACUGUAAAGCUG
Molecule: ribosomal RNA, 305 nt
Filed under: uncultured bacterium
Lineage: Bacteria
Description: partial 16S ribosomal RNA
Rfam family: Bacterial small subunit ribosomal RNA
Source: RNAcentral